GGAGUUGUGGCUCAGUGGUAGAGUGCUUGCCUAGGAUGCAUGAGGCACUGGGUUCGAUCCCUGCCACCACA
This 71-nucleotide transfer RNA is filed under the name Ictidomys tridecemlineatus (thirteen-lined ground squirrel). Its description in RNAcentral is "Spermophilus tridecemlineatus (thirteen-lined ground squirrel) tRNA". It matches the Rfam family "tRNA". From Rfam's summary of the family: Transfer RNA (tRNA) molecules are approximately 80 nucleotides in length. Their secondary structure includes four short double-helical elements and three loops (D, anti-codon, and T loops). Further hydrogen bonds mediate the characteristic L-shaped molecular structure. tRNAs have two regions of fundamental functional importance: the anti-codon, which is responsible for specific mRNA codon recognition, and the 3' end, to which the tRNAs corresponding amino acid is attached (by aminoacyl-tRNA synthetases). tRNAs cope with the degeneracy of the genetic code in two manners: having more than one tRNA (with a specific anti-codon) for a particular amino acid; and 'wobble' base-pairing, i.e. permitting non-standard base-pairing at the 3rd anti-codon position. Lineage: Eukaryota; Metazoa; Chordata; Mammalia; Rodentia; Sciuridae. The record is from Rfam by way of RNAcentral.